GGAGAGGUGGCAGAGCGGUUGAAUGCGGCGGUCUUGAAAACCGUUAUGGGCUUACGCUCAUCGGGGGUUCGAAUCCCUCCCUCUCCGCCA
RNAcentral lists this transfer RNA (90 nucleotides) under Candidatus Omnitrophota bacterium. RNAcentral's name for it is "Candidatus Omnitrophica bacterium tRNA-Ser". It matches the Rfam family "tRNA". From Rfam's summary of the family: Transfer RNA (tRNA) molecules are approximately 80 nucleotides in length. Their secondary structure includes four short double-helical elements and three loops (D, anti-codon, and T loops). Lineage: Bacteria; Pseudomonadati; Candidatus Omnitrophota. The record is from RNAcentral.